CUCUCAGUGAGUCCCCUGUCCUUGUGGCAGAGGGAGAAGCCCCCGAGAACCAGCAGCUUCACCCACCCUCCAUGCCAACUCAGCCCAGGGCCAGAGCACCCUGCGCACCUCGCAGAUGUUCCAGUCGGCUGUUGUCUACCACGCAGACCCCCACAAACACUUUUGGUGCUUGAUCUUUGUGCAUUGAAUUUACUUCUGUCCCAAAGAAGGCCUCUAUUAUGUUUCAUGGCAGGAGUUGAGAAGGAGGAAAAGGAGGGAAGGAGGGAAAAGGGAUCUCUGAGAACAAGCUGGAGGGCCAAGGCAGACCUCAAGCAGGAUGCAGAGUUGGCAAGAUUUCAAAGACAGUGCAGUGGUAGGUGAAUUUGUUCAGAUGGGCAAGAAAUGUAGAAUAAGUCAGCCAGCUGCCUUUGCAGCCGGAGGACCUCAGGCUAGAAGGUAAGAAGGGUUUUCAGUGGGG
This 457-nucleotide long non-coding RNA is filed under the name Equus asinus (donkey). Its description in RNAcentral is "lncRNA (ENSEASG00005034284.1)". Lineage: Eukaryota; Metazoa; Chordata; Mammalia; Perissodactyla; Equidae. The record is from RNAcentral.